RNAcentral lists this ribosomal RNA (406 nucleotides) under uncultured bacterium. RNAcentral describes it as "partial 16S ribosomal RNA". It matches the Rfam family "Bacterial small subunit ribosomal RNA", at positions 30 to 526 of the family's 1533-position model. The record is from RNAcentral.
AUUGAACGCUGGCGGCAGGCCUAACACAUGCAAGUCGAACGAGAGGCGGACGGGUGAGUAAUGUCUGGGAAACUGCCCGAUGGAGGGGGGUAACUACUGGAAACGGUAGCAAAUACCGCAUACCAUCAGAUGUGCCACGAUGGGGUUAGCUUGUAGGUGGGGUAACGGCUCACCUAGGCGACGAUCCCUAGCUGGUCUGAGAGGAUGCCCAGCCACACUGGAACUGAGACACGGGCCAGACUCCUACGGUAGGCAGCAGUGGGGAAUAUUGCACAAUGGGCGCAAGCCUGAUGCAGCCAUGCCGCGUGUAUGAAGAAGGCCUUAGGGUUGUAAAGUACUUUCAGCGAGGAGGCGUUACUCACAGAAGAAGCACCGGCUAACUCCGUGCCAGCAGCCGCGGUAAUUC